GAUGAACGCUGGCGGCGUGCUUAACACAUGCAAGUCGAACGAAGCAUUUAGAACAGAUUAUUUCGGUAUGAAGUUCUUUAUGACUGAGUGGCGGACGGGUGAGUAACGCGUGGGUAACCUGCCUUGUACUGGGGGAUAGCAGCUGGAAACGGCUGGUAAUACCGCAUAAGUGCACAAUGUUGCAUGACAUGGUGUGAAAAACUCCGGUGGUAUAAGAUGGACCCGCGCCUGAUUAGCUAGUUGGUGAGAUAACGGCCCACCAAGGCGACGAUCAGUAGCCGGCCUGAGAGGGUGAACGGCCACAUUGGGACUGAGACACGGCCCAAACACCUACGGGAGGCAGCAGUGGGGAAUAUUGCACAAUGGGGGAAACCCUGAUGCAGCGACGCCGCGGUGAGUGAUGAAGUAUUUCGGUAUGUAAAACUCUAUCAGCAGGGAAGAUAAUGACGGUACCUGACUAAGAAGCACCGGCUAAAUACGUGCCAG
This 486-nucleotide ribosomal RNA is filed under the name uncultured bacterium. RNAcentral's name for it is "bacterial SSU rRNA". It matches the Rfam family "Bacterial small subunit ribosomal RNA", at positions 28 to 511 of the family's 1533-position model. The record is from RNAcentral.